Molecule: transfer RNA, 65 nt
Filed under: Fukomys damarensis (Damara mole-rat)
Lineage: Eukaryota; Metazoa; Chordata; Mammalia; Rodentia; Bathyergidae
Rfam family: tRNA
About the family: Transfer RNA (tRNA) molecules are approximately 80 nucleotides in length.
Source: Rfam by way of RNAcentral
AAUGUAGCUCAGUGGUAGAGCACUUGCCUAGAGUACAUGAGGCCCUGAGUUCAUUCCCCAGCGUU